This 409-nucleotide ribosomal RNA is filed under the name uncultured bacterium. RNAcentral describes it as "bacterial SSU rRNA". It matches the Rfam family "Bacterial small subunit ribosomal RNA", at positions 402 to 809 of the family's 1533-position model. The record is from RNAcentral.
UGGAGGAUGAAGGUCCUAUGGAUCGUAAACUCCUUUUCUGAGGGAAGAAAACUGGUGGAGCCACCAGGCUGACGGUACCUCAGGAAGAAGCACCGGCUAACUCCGUGCCAGCAGCCGCGGUAAUACGGAGGGUGCAAGCGUUGUCCGGAAUCACUGGGUGUAAAGGGUGUGUAGGCGGGGCGAUAAGUCUAUGGUGAAAGCCUGCGGCUCAACCGCAGAAUUGCCGUGGAUACUGUCGUUCUUGAGUACCGGAGGGGUCACUGGAAUUCGUGGUGUAGCGGUGAAAUGCGUAGAUAUCACGAGGAACACCGGAGGUGUAGACGGGUGACUGGACGGAGACUGACGCUGAGGCACGAAAGCGUGGGGAGCAAACAGGAUUAGAUACCCUGGUAGUCCACGCCGUAAACGA